Molecule: ribosomal RNA, 497 nt
Filed under: uncultured bacterium
Lineage: Bacteria
Description: partial 16S ribosomal RNA
Rfam family: Bacterial small subunit ribosomal RNA
Source: RNAcentral
GAUGAACGCUGGCGGCGUGCCUAAUACAUGCAAGUCGAGCGAACAGACGAGGAGCUUGCUCCUCUGACGUUAGCGGCGGACGGGUGAGUAACACGUGGAUAACCUACCUAUAAGACUGGGAUAACUUCGGGAAACCGGAGCUAAUACCGGAUAACAUAUUGAACCGCAUGGUUCAACAGUGAAAGACGGUUUUGCUGUCACUUAUAGAUGGAUCCGCGCCGCAUUAGCUAGUUGGUAAGGUAACGGCUUACCAAGGCAACGAUGCGUAGCCGACCUGAGAGGGUGAUCGGCCACACUGGAACUGAGACACGGUCCAGACUCCUACGGGAGGCAGCAGUAGGGAAUCUUCCGCAAUGGGCGAAAGCCUGACGGAGCAACGCCGCGUGAGUGAAGAAGGUCUUCGGAUCGUAAAACUCUGUUAUUAGGGAAGAACAAAUGUGUAAGUAACUAUGCACGUCUUGACGGUACCUAAUCAGAAAGCCACGGCUAACUACGUG